This is a non-coding RNA of Equus caballus (horse), 5104 nucleotides long. The record is from RefSeq and is a predicted model, not a curated record. NCBI's taxonomy places the organism in Eukaryota, Metazoa, Chordata, Mammalia, Perissodactyla, Equidae.
GCCGCUCCUCCCAGCCGAGUCCCGGAGCGCGAGCGGGCGUGGGGCCUCCUCGGCUGAGCCCUGAGCCCCUGGCCCUGCUGCUGGACUGUGGCGGGCGCUCGCCCCGGAGGCCCGCGGGCCCGCCUCGGGGAGCAUGGACUCGCAGGGGCUGAAGACUUUGAUUAAUUACUAUUGUCAAGAGAGGUAUUUCCAUCAUGUGUUGCUUGUUGCCAGUGAAGGCAUGAAGAGGUAUGGUAAUGACCCAGUCUUCAGGUUUUAUCAUGCCUAUGGUACAUUGAUGGAAGGUAAAACUCAAGACGCUCUUCGAGAAUUUGAGGCUAUUAAAAAUAAACAAGAUGUAUCACUUUGUUCUCUAAUUGCACUGAUAUACGCCCAUAAAAUGAGUCCUAAUCCAGAUAGAGAAGCUAUUCUGGAGUCAGAUGCCAAAGUGAAGGAGCAACGUAAAGGAGCUGGACCAAAAGCUUUGUACCACGCAGGCUUAUUUUUAUGGCAUGUUGGUCACCAUGAUAAGGCGAGAGAAUAUAUUGACAGAAUGAUCAAAAUGUCAAAUGGUAGUAAAGAGGGACAGGUUUUGAGAGCAUGGCUUGAUAUUACAAGAGGAAAAGAACCCUAUACUAAAAAAGCACUAAGGUAUUUUGAAGAAGGAUUACAAGAUGGAAAUGACAUUUUUGCUCUACUGGGUAAGGCACAGUGCCUUGAGAUGCGCCAGAAUUAUUCAGGUGCUCUGGAGACUGUGAACCAGAUAAUCAUGAGCUUUCCAAGUUUCCUUCCUGCUUUUGUAAAGAAAAUGAAACUUCAACUAGCCUUACAGGAUUGGGAUCAGACGGUUGAGACAGCACAGAGGUUAAUGCUUCAAGAUAAUCAAAAUGUGGAAGGACUCAGAAUGCUGGCUCUUUACUAUUUGUGUAGGGAGGGGGAUAUAGAUAAGGCUGCCACCAAGCUGGAAAGCUUAGGAAGUGCACUGGAGGCCAUGGAACCACAGAAUGCUCAGCUUUUCUAUAAGAUCACAAUAGCCUUCAGCAGAACUUGUGGACGUAGUCAACUGAUUCUUCAGAAACUUCACACGUUCCUAGAAAGAGCUUUUAGUUUGACCCCUCAGGAAUCAGAAUUUGCUACAGAACUUGGAUACCAGUUGAUUUUACAAGGAAAAGUUCAAGAGGCAUUGAAGUGGUAUGAGACUGCCAUGACGCUUAAUGAAACCAGUGUCCCUGCACUGAUUGGAUUUAUCCGAUGUCAGUUAAUAGAAGGGCAAUUACAGGAUGCAGAUCAGCAGCUGGAGUUCCUUAGUGAAAUUCAGCAGUCAAUUGGGAAAUCUGCGGAGUUAACCUAUUUACAUGCAAUUCUUGCUAUGAAGAAAAAUAAACGGCAAGAAGAAGUUAUUAAUUUGUUAAAUGAUGUCCUGGACACUCAUUUUUCACACUUAGAAGAUUCACCUCUUGGGAUACAGUAUUUUGAGAAGUUAAAUCCUGAUUUCUUGCUAGAAAUUAUUACAGAAUAUCUGAAUUUCUGUCCAAUGCAGCCUGCAAGUCCUGGGCAACCUCUUUCUCCACUUCUCAGACGUUGUACCUCAAUCCUGGAGACCAUAGUAAGAACUGUACCAGGUCUUCUGCAAGCUGUCUUCCUAAUAGCAAAAGUGAAAUAUUUGUCAGGUGACACUGAAGCAGCCUAUAAUAACCUGCAGCACUGCCUGGAGCACAGUCCUUCUUACGCAGAUGCGCACCUCCUGAUGGCUCAGGUUUAUUUGUCUCAGGAAAAAUUCAAAUUGUGUUCUCAGUCUCUUGAACUUUGUCUCAGCUAUAAUUUUAAGGUGAGAGAAUAUCCUUUGUAUCAUUUGAUAAAAGCUCAGUCACAAAAGAAAAUGGGAGAAAUAGCAGAAGCAAUUAAAACUCUGCAUAUGGCAAUGAGUUUACCAGGAAUGAGGAGAAUUGGAGCUUCCUCAAAAUCAAAGUACAGAAAAACUGAAGCUGAUGCAGGCCAUCGUUUAUCCAUCUUUCUCGAGUUGGUGGAGGUUCACCGCUUAAAUGGAGAACAGCAUGAAGCAGCAAAAGUUUUACAAGAUGCCAUCCAUGAAUUUUCUGGGACAUCAGAAGAAUUGCGUGUUACUAUUGCUAAUGCAGACCUAGCUCUGGCCCAGGGAGACGUUGAGCGGGCUUUAAGCAUGCUUCGGAAUGUUACUGCUGAACAGCCGUAUUUCAUAGAGGCUAAAGAAAAAAUGGCAGAUAUAUAUCUGAAGCACAGAAAAGAGAAAAUGUUAUAUAUCACUUGUUAUAGAGAAAUUGCUGAAAGAAUGCCCAGCCCUCGUUCUUUUCUUCUCCUUGGCGAUGCAUACAUGAAUAUUCAAGAGCCUGAAGAAGCCAUAGUAGCGUACGAGCAAGCUUUAAAUCAGAACCCAAAAGAUGGAACUCUGGCAAGCAAAAUUGGGAAAGCACUUGUGAAAACUCACAACUAUUCAAAGGCAAUCACUUAUUAUGAAGCUGCUCUGAAAAGUGGACAACAAAAUUAUCUUUGCUAUGACCUGGCCGAGCUUUUAUUAAAAUUGAAGUGGUAUGACAAAGCAGAAAAAGUUCUUCAGCACGCUCUAGCUCAUGAACCUGUAAAUGAACUGUCAGCUCUCAUGGAAGAUGGACGUUCUCAAGUUCUGUUAGCAAAAGUUUACAGUAAAGUGGACAGAACUAGCGAUGCGGUCACUUCCUUACAACAGGCUCGAGAAUUACAAGCUCGGGUACUAAAACGUGUUCAGAUGGAACAGCCAGACGCAGUUCCCGCUCAGAAACAUUUAGCAGCUGAAAUUUGUGCAGAGAUUGCAAAACAUUCUGUUGCUCAGCGAGACUAUGAAAAAGCAAUUAAGUUUUAUAGAGAGGCUCUUGUUCAUUCUGAAACAGAUAAUAAGAUCAUGUUGGAGCUGGCAAGAUUGUACCUGGCACAGGAUGACCCUGACGCCUGCCUGCGGCAUUGUGCUCUGCUUCUCCAGAGUGACCAGGACAACGAAGCUGCCACCAUGAUGAUGGCAGAUCUCAUGUUCAGAAAACAGGACUAUGAACAAGCAGUGUUUCAUUUACAACAACUUUUAGAACGCAAACCAGAUAAUUAUAUGACAUUAUCUCGUUUAAUUGAUCUCCUAAGACGAUGUGGCAAACUUGAGGAUGUUCCAAGAUUUUUCCUAAUGGCUGAGAAACGAAACUCCAGAGCAAAAUUGGAGCCAGGAUUUCAGUACUGUAAAGGACUAUAUCUUUGGUACACUGGAGAACCAAAUGAUGCUCUUCGACAUUUUAAUAAAGCUCGGAAAGAUAGUGACUGGGGCCAAAAUGCCCUUUAUAAUAUGAUAGAAAUCUGUUUGAAUCCAGAUAAUGAAACGAUUGGAGGUGAAGUAUUUGAAAAUCUGGAUGGAGACUUGGGCAAUUCAACUGAGAAGCAAGAGUCUGUGCAAUUAGCAGUGAGAACAGCAGAAAAACUCCUUAAAGAACUAAAACCUCAGACUGUUGAGGGUCACGUACAACUUCGCAUAAUGGAAAACUAUUGCCUGAUGGCCACCAAACAGAAAUCGAAUGUUGAGCAAGCGUUGAAUACCUUCACCGAAGUAGCAACGUCUGAGAAGGAUCAUAUACCAGCACUUUUGGGAAUGGCAACAGCUUAUAUGAUCUUGAAACAGACGCCAAGAGCCAGAAACCAGCUGAAGCGGAUUGCAAAAAUGAACUGGAAUGCUGUUGAUGCUGAGGACUUUGAGAAGAGUUGGCUGCUACUUGCUGAUAUUUAUAUUCAAUCCGCAAAAUACGAUAUGGCAGAAGAACUGUUAAAACGGUGUCUGCGUCAUAAUAGGUCUUGUUGCAAAGCUUAUGAAUAUAUGGGAUACAUUAUGGAGAAAGAGCAAGCAUAUACAGAUGCUGCCUUCAACUAUGAGAUGGCAUGGAAACAUGGCAAUCAGACAAAUCCAGCAGUAGGAUACAAACUGGCAUUUAAUUACUUAAAAGCGAAAAGAUAUGUGGAUGCAAUUGAUGUAUGUCACCAGAUAGCUGUGUCAGCAUCAUCCCAGUAAACACUCGGCCUCAGUGAUUGCUGUUGAUUACUGAGUCUCUCUGGAAGCAGGUUCUUGAAGCACAUCCAACUUAUCCAAAAAUCAGAAAGGAUAUACUUGAUAAGGCCCGUACAUCUUUAAGACCUUGAAAAUUAUUUUAAUUUAGUUUGUUGGUUAAGUGGGAAAUGAAAGGAAUCUGAGUUUUUCCAGUUCCACAUAGGUUUGAGCUAAUGCUUUUUCUCCAGCAGAGGCUGCUGUUGUAUAUAAAGAGAAACGCUGUGUCAAAUGGAUGAUUUCUCAUGGAGAAUGUGAAUGAGAGCUGAUUUAUUUGAUGGACUCUCUUGAUUAGCUGCAGAUUUGGUGUCUCUGUGGUCAAGAUGAUAACCAACCCCUUUUUAUAAAGAAUAUUUUGUUCAAAUCUAGGUAAUUAAGUAUCUUAUAUCUUUUCUAAGGAGUAUUAGCUGUUUAUUUCAGGAAAUGUAUUUAAAAUGCUAUUGUUCUCUGUUAAAAUUUUUUGUAAUGUUCUCUGUUACUUCAAAAGUUUGAGUAAAUUCCUUGUAAAUAAUUUAUGAAAACGAAAAUAUAUUUUUUAAUAAAGAUUUUGUAAAUUUAUGGUUUGUAUUCCUCUUGGAACUCAAAAGACAUGGUAGGUUUUGCAAAAUCAGGGUAAGCUCCCCAUGCAGUCUGCAAUGUUAAUGAGUAGUAGUGCAGAAAAUGUGACUUUCCCAGAAAAAUCUUUUUCGAAAAGUGUAAAGAGUGUGUUUCCCUUCCCUUCGUUGAGCUCAUUCUUCCUGCUCUCAAUGCCUGUGUGAUCUUGAGAAAUAAUUAGUACCUGAAAUCAGUUUAAAUAGGUAAACCCUUAUAGCAAUAUUUAACCUUAGCUCAAAGACUAGGUCUUGUGGUGUAACUUCAGAUACUGUAAGCUGUGGUGGAGAAGAGUGACGUGAUACUUUUGGUCCACAAGGACUCAGAAAGCACACCAUGUGACAGCAACUGCUUGCCCUACCAUGCCUACCGCCACCCUGGCGGAGCCGUUCUCACUCUUUUACACUCAAUUUAACCUCAUCUUAAUAAACUCAGUUCUUAGUUUCA